Molecule: ribosomal RNA, 253 nt
Filed under: uncultured bacterium
Lineage: Bacteria
Description: partial 16S ribosomal RNA
Rfam family: Bacterial small subunit ribosomal RNA
Source: RNAcentral
UACGAAGGGGGCUAGCGUUGCUCGGAAUUACUGGGCGUAAAGCGCGUGUAGGCUGCUUCGCAAGUCGGAUGUGAAAGCCCUGGGCUCAACCCAGGAAGUGCAUUCGAAACUGCAAAACUGGAGUCCUGGAGAGGAAGGCGGAAUUCUCGGUGUAGAGGUGAAAUUCGUAAAUAUCGAAAGGAACACCAGUGACAAAAGCGGCCUUCUGGACAGUGACUGACGCUAAGACGCGAAAGCGUGGGGAGCAAACAGG